UACGUAGGGUGCGAGCGUUAAUCGGAAUUACUGGGCGUAAAGCGUGCGCAGGCGGUUCGUUGUGUCGGCGGUGAAAGCCCCGGGCUUAAACCCUGGGAAUGGCCGUUGAAAACUGGCGAACUGGAGUGUGGCAGAGGGGGGGUGGAAUUCCGCGUGUAGCAGUGAAAAUGCGUAGAGAUGCGGAGGAACACCGAUGGCGAAGGCAGCCCCCCUGGGCUAACACU
RNAcentral lists this ribosomal RNA (224 nucleotides) under uncultured bacterium. Its description in RNAcentral is "partial 16S ribosomal RNA". It matches the Rfam family "Bacterial small subunit ribosomal RNA", at positions 524 to 741 of the family's 1533-position model. The record is from RNAcentral.